AUGGUGGGAGCAGAUAGGAGCGACUGUUUUAGGCACUUCUGUGAAAGAAUAAAAGAAAGGUUGAAAGGAUGGAUGGAGAAGCAACUAUCUAUUGGGGGUAAUGAAAUACUUAUUAAAUCUGUAGCUCAAGCAAUCCCUGUUUUUGCCAUGUCAGUAUUCAGCUUACCUAAGGGAAUUUGCAAGGAGAUUACGGAUUUGAUAGCUCAAUUUUGGUGGGGUGAUGAUGAAGAUCACAAAAGAAUGCAUUGGUACACAUGGUGGAAAUUGUGCUAUCCGAAGAGUGAAGGAGGAAUGGGCUUCAGAUCUCUCUAUUCCUUCAAUUUGGCUAUGCUCUCGAAGCAAUGUUGGCGUCUCAAACCAACCCAUUCUUUCAAUUUGGCUAUGCUCUCGAAGCAAUGUUGGCGUCUCAUUACCAACCCAGAGUCGUUAUGUUCUCGGGUGCUGAAAGCAAAGUACUUCCCGAAUGGAAGUCUACUCCAAGCAACUUUAAAAAGUGAAGCUUCCUUCACUUGGCAGAGUAUAAUGAAGGGAUUAGAGACAUUUAAAUUGGGAUAUAUUUGGUGA
Molecule: ribosomal RNA, 564 nt
Filed under: Triticum aestivum (bread wheat)
Lineage: Eukaryota; Viridiplantae; Streptophyta; Magnoliopsida; Poales; Poaceae
Description: partial small subunit ribosomal RNA
Source: RNAcentral